Molecule: ribosomal RNA, 1138 nt
Filed under: Staphylococcus aureus
Lineage: Bacteria; Bacillati; Bacillota; Bacilli; Caryophanales; Staphylococcaceae
Description: bacterial LSU rRNA
Rfam family: Bacterial large subunit ribosomal RNA
Source: RNAcentral
AGAUUAAGUUAUUAAGGGCGCACGGUGGAUGCCUUGGCACUAGAAGCCGAUGAAGGACGUUACUAACGACGAUAUGCUUUGGGGAGCUGUAAGUAAGCUUUGAUCCAGAGAUUUCCGAAUGGGGAAACCCAGCAUGAGUUAUGUCAUGUUAUCGAUAUGUGAAUACAUAGCAUAUCAGAAGGCACACCCGGAGAACUGAAACAUCUUAGUACCCGGAGGAAGAGAAAGAAAAUUCGAUUCCCUUAGUAGCGGCGAGCGAAACGGGAAGAGCCCAAACCAACAAGCUUGCUUGUUGGGGUUGUAGGACACUCUAUACGGAGUUACAAAGGACGACAUUAGACGAAUCAUCUGGAAAGAUGAAUCAAAGAAGGUAAUAAUCCUGUAGUCGAAAAUGUUGUCUCUCUUGAGUGGAUCCUGAGUACGACGGAGCACGUGAAAUUCCGUCGGAAUCUGGGAGGACCAUCUCCUAAGGCUAAAUACUCUCUAGUGACCGAUAGUGAACCAGUACCGUGAGGGAAAGGUGAAAAGCACCCCGGAAGGGGAGUGAAAUAGAACCUGAAACCGUGUGCUUACAAGUAGUCAGAGCCCGUUAAUGGGUGAUGGCGUGCCUUUUGUAGAAUGAACCGGCGAGUUACGAUUUGAUGCAAGGUUAAGCAGUAAAUGUGGAGCCGUAGCGAAAGCGAGUCUGAAUAGGGCGUUUAGUAUUUGGUCGUAGACCCGAAACCAGGUGAUCUACCCUUGGUCAGGUUGAAGUUCAGGUAACACUGAAUGGAGGACCGAACCGACUUACGUUGAAAAGUGAGCGGAUGAACUGAGGGUAGCCCUAAAGCUAUUUCGGAGAGAACCAGCUAUCUCCAGGUUCGAUUGGAAUUUCUCCGCUACCCUCAGUUCAUCCGCUCACUUUUCAACGUAAGUCGGUUCUCUCCGAAAUAGCUUUAGGGCUAGCCUCAAGUGAUGAUUAUUGGAGGUAGAGCACUGUUUGGACGAGGGGCCCCUCUCGGGUUACCGAAUUCAGACAAACUCCGAAUGCCAAUUAAUUUAACUUGGGAGUCAGAACAUGGGUGAUAAGGUCCGUGUUCGAAAGGGAAACAGCCCAGACCACCAGCUAAGGUCCCAAAAUAUAUGUUAAGUGGAAAAG